AUUGAACGCUGGCGGCAGGCCUAACACAUGCAAGUCGAACGGUAACAGGAAGCAGCUUGCUGCUUUGCUGACGAGUGGCGGACGGGUGAGUCAUGUCUGUGAAACUGCCCGAUGGAGGGGGAUAACUACUGGAAACGGUAGCUAAUACCGCAUAACGUCGCAAGACCAAAGAGGGGGACCUUAGGGCCUCUUGCCAUCGGAUGUGCCCAGAUGGGAUUAGCUAGUAGGUGGGGUAACGGCUCACCUAGGCGACGAUCCCUAGCGGGUCUGAGAGGAUGACCAGCCACACUGGAACUGAGACACGGUCCAGACUCCUACGGGAGGCAGCAGUGGGGAAUAUUGCACAAUGGGCGCAAGCCUGAUGCAGCCAUGCCGCGUGUAUGAAGAAGGCCUUCGGGUUGUAAAGUACUUUCAGCGGGGAGGAAGGGAGUAAAGUUAAUACCUUUGCUCAUUGACGUUACCCGCAGAAGAAGCACCGGCUAACUCCGUG
Molecule: ribosomal RNA, 490 nt
Filed under: uncultured bacterium
Lineage: Bacteria
Description: partial 16S ribosomal RNA
Rfam family: Bacterial small subunit ribosomal RNA
Source: RNAcentral